GGCAUGACGCAGACUACACAUGCAGUCGAGCGGUAGCACAGAGAGCUUGCUCUCGGGUGACGAGCGGCGGACGGGUGAGUAAUGUCUGGGAAACUGCCUGAUGGAGGGGGAUAACUACUGGAAACGGUAGCUAAUACCGCAUAAUGUCGCAAGACCAAAGUGGGGGACCUUCGGGCCUCAUGCCAUCAGAUGUGCCCAGAUGGGAUUAGCUAGUAGGUGGGGUAACGGCUCACCUAGGCGACGAUCCCUAGCUGGUCUGAGAGGAUGACCAGCCACACUGGAACUGAGACACGGUCCAGACUCCUACGGGAGGCAGCAGUGGGGAAUAUUGCACAAUGGGCGCAAGCCUGAUGCAGCCAUGCCGCGUGUGUGAAGAAGGCCUUCGGGUUGUAAAGCACUUUCAGCGGGGAGGAAGGCGGUGAGGUUAAUAACCUCAUCGAUUGACGUUACCCGCAGAAGAAGCACCGGCUAACUCCGUGCCAGCAGCCGCGGUAAUACGGAGGGUGCAAGCGUUAAUCGGAAUUACUGGGCGUAAAGCGCACGCAGGCGGUCUGUCAAGUCGGAUGUGAAAUCCCCGGGCUCAACCUGGGAACUGCAUUCGAAACUGGCAGGCUAGAGUCUUGUAGAGGGGGGGUAGAAUUCCAGGUGUAGCGGUGAAAUGCGUAGAGAUCUGGAGGAAUACCGGUGGCGAAGGCGGCCCCCUGGACAAAGACUGACGCUCAGGUGCGAAAGCGUGGGGAGCAAACAGGAUUAGAUACCCUGGUAGUCCACGCCGUAAACGAUGUCGAUUUGGAGGUUGUGCCCUUGAGGCGUGGCUUCCGGAGCUAACGCGUUAAAUCGACCGCCUGGGGAGUACGGCCGCAAGGUUAAAACUCAAAUGAAUUGACGGGGGCCCGCACAAGCGGUGGAGCAUGUGGUUUAAUUCGAUGCAACGCGAAGAACCUUACCUGGUCUUGACAUCCACAGAACUUUCCAGAGAUGGAUUGGUGCCUUCGGGAACUGUGAGACAGGUGCUGCAUGGCUGUCGUCAGCUCGUGUUGUGAAAUGUUGGGUUAAGUCCCGCAACGAGCGCAACCCUUAUCCUUUGUUGCCAGCGGUCCGGCCGGGAACUCAAAGGAGACUGCCAGUGAUAAACUGGAGGAAGGUGGGGAUGACGUCAAGUCAUCAUGGCCCUUACGACCAGGGCUACACACGUGCUACAAUGGCAUAUACAAAGAGAAGCGACCUCGCGAGAGCAAGCGGACCUCAUAAAGUAUGUCGUAGUCCGGAUUGGAGUCUGCAACUCGACUCCAUGAAGUCGGAAUCGCUAGUAAUCGUAGAUCAGAAUGCUACGGUGAAUACGUUCCCGGGCCUUGUACACACCGCCCGUCACACCAUGGGAGUGGGUUGCAAAAGAAGUAGGUAGCUUAACCUUCGGGAGGGCGCUACUCACAUUUGAUCAUAAUGU
RNAcentral lists this ribosomal RNA (1447 nucleotides) under Klebsiella sp. DE2. RNAcentral's name for it is "bacterial SSU rRNA". It matches the Rfam family "Bacterial small subunit ribosomal RNA". Lineage: Bacteria; Pseudomonadati; Pseudomonadota; Gammaproteobacteria; Enterobacterales; Enterobacteriaceae. The record is from RNAcentral.